RNAcentral lists this long non-coding RNA (472 nucleotides) under Glycine max (soybean). RNAcentral's name for it is "long non-coding RNA (GMAX_LNC001219)". Lineage: Eukaryota; Viridiplantae; Streptophyta; Magnoliopsida; Fabales; Fabaceae. The record is from RNAcentral.
GCCCCACCGCCCACGCCGGAAUCGAAGCCAGCAACGGCGUGAAAAAAAACGCUAAAAAGAAAUACGCCGCCACCGUCAACGCCGUGAUUCCUGUUCUCCCACCUUCCCGGAUCCCCGUCGAGGAUUCAAUAAACGCCGUCACCGGCGAGGUGCCGAGCAAGGACCCCACCACGAUCGACGUGGCGUCCGACAUGAACGCGAAGUACUGUCCCUCGAAGCCCCCCUUGUCGUCGGUGAAGCCCGCGCCGUCAACGCCGUGAUUCCUGUUCUCCCACCUUCCCGGAUCCCCGUCGAGGAUUCAAUAAACGCCGUCACCGGCGAGGUGCCGAGCAAGGACCCCACCACGAUCGACGUGGCGUCCGACAUGAACGCGAAGUACUGUCCCUCGAAGCCCCCCUUGUCGUCGGUGAAGCCCGCGAAACGCGCCAUGGAGUACAACGUUCCUGUCGUGUCGAGAAUGUCAACGUACAAG